Molecule: long non-coding RNA, 1166 nt
Filed under: Gossypium barbadense (sea-island cotton)
Lineage: Eukaryota; Viridiplantae; Streptophyta; Magnoliopsida; Malvales; Malvaceae
Description: long non-coding RNA (GBAR_LNC020586)
Source: RNAcentral
UCGAUAAUGGAAGAUGCUUGGGUACUGGGAAGUGUGGACUACAAAAUACAAGAUUUAAUUAGUCUAUAGGAUAUUAAGUUAGUAGCUGAUUUGAUAGAGCUUAUUAUUAAAAGAUGGAUAGUUGAUCUAAUUACCAAUACCUUUAGUUAAAGGGAUGUAGAAAGAAUUCUUCGUAUUCCAUUGGCACGAUGUCCAUACAAUGAACAUAGGGUAUGGAAAGGUAAAGCAUCGGGCGAGUACUCUGUUCGUAGUGGUUACAAGCUUCUAGUACAAUGACUCACAAAUCUUAAUGCUAGUUAUAAUUAGAACACGAGAGAGAAUCUUUAUAAGAAAAUAUGGCUACUGAAUCAACCACUAAAAAUAAAAAUUAUAACAUGGAGAAUAGCCUGUAAUUUUCUUCCUACAUUUAAUAAUCUACAUCACAAAAGGCUGAUUGGAACGACAGUUUGUACUAGAUGCAAAGAGGAAACAGAAACAACAAAACAUGUGAUGCAUGACUGUCAAAUUACAAAGGAGGUAGAAACAACAGAACAUGUGUUUCAAACUAUUGCAGACAUGGGAAAUAGAGAAUGAAUUGCCUAUAUUUUUAACAGAAUUUGAAAAAUCAGUGUAGAGUAUUUGUAUGUGCUCUAAGGGCAAUUUGGAUGGACAUAAAAAAAUGGGUGCACGAAAGUGAGAAAAAAGAUGGAUUAGUCACUAAAAACUUUAUUAAGAAUUAUCUUAAGGAGUUGGAUAAUCUAAGCAAUAAGUUACCGGAGAAGAGGGAAGUGACUGAGUAAUGGAAGACACCGAAAAACCCAUGCGUUAAGUUAAAUUUUGAUGUUGCAUAUAGAAAUCAAGAAAAGAGGUCAUGUUCUAGUAUUGUUAUUAGGGAUUCAAGAGGAUAUGUGAUAGACUCGAAAAUAGUGAUUAACGAAAACAUACUUUAGGCGUUUGCGACUAAAACGUUGGCUUGCAUCCAAGCAAUGUUGAUGGAUUUGAAUCUAGGUAUAAGGGUGAUGGAGGUCGAAGAGGAUUUACUGACUGUGGUAAAGAAGGCUCAGAUGGAUGAGGAAGAUAGAUCUGAAAUUUCGGCCUACAUAAAGGAUGCAAAGAGUUUAAGUAAAGAAUUUCAUACAACUGAAUGGAUAAAAAAGGAUGGAACAAACUUAUCUAAUGAAUGGAGU